CAAGAAGAUAGAUGCUUCUUAAUCAAAAACAGAGAUUCAUUAGGAAGCAAAGUAAUGUAUCCCUUUUUUCUCUCUUUCUUUAUGCUUUUACUGUCUCUCUCGCUCUUGUAAUCAGUUAUUUUUGGAAUUGCGAUCAGGCGAUGAAGCAAAAACGCACAUAAAUUCAAUUCUGUAAAACGGGGAUGAAACUAGUUACGCGAUUGGUUAAAUUACGCAACUUUUGUCAACAGUAUAAAUUAAGUUGAUAAAGUUGUUCAAGGUAUGUCUUGAAGUAGAUGCCACGUCGCCAUUUUAUUAUUUUGUUUUUUAUUACGUGUUUUUGUUUUAUUUUAUGUUUCAUUUAUUUAAUACGAGUGUUUAAUUCUUUUUUUAUUCACACAAAGGAAUAGAUAAGGACUAAGUACUUAAAAUUUUUCGCGUAACAGAUGAAUUUUGUGCAUCUACAUUGCAUCUUGUCUUGAAAGGCAAACCACGCCAGACAACCAUUUUAAAAUUUGCUUUUUUAUGUGUUUUUAUUCAAUUUCAUUAUAUAUUUACUUCAUACAAUAAUUGUUAAAUCGUUAUUUCUCUAUUUUUACAGAUUGAAGAUAAACAAGUGUAGAGAUAGAAGUUCAUUUUGGUGCUGCUGAAAUAACAUACCUGGUCUCUCUUAUGGUGUUUUAUCUGUUAACUUUUCAUCUUGGAGGCUUUUGUAGUUGAUUAAUUAAGAAACGUUUGAAGGACUCCAGAUGCCAUUAAAUUAUAGAGCAUUGGCUGUGUUAGUCGAUAAUUGCUCCAGAACGUAGCCGUACCUAUGGCCCUAAAAAAAGCAUGAAAAUGCCAUUUUUCUAUUGAGAAUGGAGCUGUUGCUGAAAAAAGGAUUUAUGACAAUGAACUGAUGGUUCAUUAAAUGAGAAGGAAUUAAUUUUGGUGCCACUCAAACAAUCGACGCUUUUGAUGUCUUCACCUUGCAACAUUAUGUAGUUAAUUUUGGCCCUGAGAAUGGGAGGUAAUUGGAAAUUAUUUACGUGAGAGCCACUCAAACAACAAAUCAUCCCUUCUAGAUUUCGUUUGCUCAUCAUACUGGUAGACUUUAGAACGCUACUUUCUAUAGUUAAUUAAGAUUGAAGGUGAACAAGUAUGGAGAUUGAAGUUCAUUUUGGUGCUGCUGAAAUAACAUGCCCAGUCCCUCUUAUGGUGUUUUAUCUGUUAACUUUUCAUCUUGGAGGCUUUUGUAGUUGAUUAAUUAAGAUGGUUCAACAAAUGAGAAGGAAUUAAUUUUGGUGCCACUGAAACAAUCGACGCUUUUGAUGUCUUCACCUUGCAACAUCAAGUACUUAAUUUUGGCGUUGUGAAUGGGAGGUAAUUGAGAGCCACUCAAACGACAAAUCAUCUCUUCUAGAUUUGGUUUGCUCAUCAUACUGGUAGAUUUUAUAACGGUACUUUCUACAGUUAAUUAAGAUCGUUCAUCAAUUGAGUUCAGUUUGGUCACACUGAAACAUGAAAUGUUCUAUAUGGGUGUGGUCAUUGGUGGACU
This 1516-nucleotide long non-coding RNA is filed under the name Agrilus planipennis (emerald ash borer). RNAcentral's name for it is "uncharacterized LOC108742764, transcript variant X2". Lineage: Eukaryota; Metazoa; Arthropoda; Insecta; Coleoptera; Buprestidae. The record is from RNAcentral.